GACGAACGCUGGCGGCGUGCUUAACACAUGCAAGUCGAACGGAAAGGCCCUGCUUUUGUGGGGUGCUCGAGUGGCGAACGGGUGAGUAACACGUGAGUAACCUGCCCUUGACUUUGGGAUAACUUCAGGAAACUGGGGCUAAUACCGGAUAGGAGCUCCUGCUGCAUGGUGGGGGUUGGAAAGUUUCGGCGGUUGGGGAUGGACUCGCGGCUUAUCAGCUUGUUGGUGGGGUAGUGGCUUACCAAGGCUUUGACGGGUAGCCGGCCUGAGAGGGUGACCGGCGACAUUAGUACUGAGAGACGCCCCAGACUCCUACGGGAGGCAGCAGGGGGGAAUAUUGCACAAUGGGCGGAAGCCUGAUGCAGCAGCGCCGCGUGCGGGAUGACGGCCUUCGGGUUGUAAACCGCUUUCGCCUGUGACGAAGCGUGAGUGACGGUAAUGGGUAAAGAAGCACCGGCUAACUACGUG
RNAcentral lists this ribosomal RNA (468 nucleotides) under uncultured bacterium. RNAcentral's name for it is "partial 16S ribosomal RNA". It matches the Rfam family "Bacterial small subunit ribosomal RNA", at positions 28 to 507 of the family's 1533-position model. The record is from RNAcentral.